This 69-nucleotide ribosomal RNA is filed under the name Naegleria lovaniensis. RNAcentral describes it as "partial 28S ribosomal RNA". The record is from RNAcentral. Lineage: Eukaryota; Heterolobosea; Eutetramitea; Acrasida; Naegleriidae.
ACUAGCCUCUAAUGUGAGAGGGUACCCCCUGGAUUUAAGCAUAUUAAUAAGGGGAGGAAAAGAAAAUCA